RNAcentral lists this ribosomal RNA (599 nucleotides) under Trichoderma harzianum. Its description in RNAcentral is "eukaryotic LSU rRNA". It matches the Rfam family "Eukaryotic large subunit ribosomal RNA", at positions 35 to 657 of the family's 3401-position model. The record is from RNAcentral. Lineage: Eukaryota; Fungi; Ascomycota; Sordariomycetes; Hypocreales; Hypocreaceae.
UAAGCAUAUCAAUAAGCGGAGGAAAAGAAACCAACAGGGAUUGCCCCAGUAACGGCGAGUGAAGCGGCAACAGCUCAAAUUUGAAAUCUGGUCCCUAGGGCCCGAGUUGUAAUUUGUAGAGGAUGCUUUUGGUGAGGUGCCGCCCGAGUUCCCUGGAACGGGACGCCACAGAGGGUGAGAGCCCCGUCUGGCUGGCCGCCGAGCCUCUGUAAAGCUCCUUCGACGAGUCGAGUAGUUUGGGAAUGCUGCUCAAAAUGGGAGGUAUAUGUCUUCUAAAGCUAAAUAUUGGCCAGAGACCGAUAGCGCACAAGUAGAGUGAUCGAAAGAUGAAAAGCACCUUGAAAAGAGGGUUAAAUAGUACGUGAAAUUGUUGAAAGGGAAGCGCUUGUGACCAGACUUGGGCGCGGCGGAUCAUCCGGGGUUCUCUCCGGUGCACUUCGCCGCGUCUAGGCCAGCAUCAGUUCGUCGCGGGGGAAAAAGGCUUCGGGAACGUGGCUCCUCCGGGAGUGUUAUAGCCCGUUGCAUAAUACCCUGCGGUGGACUGAGGACCGCGCAUCUGCAAGGAUGCUGGCGUAAUGGUCACCAGCGACCCGUCUGAA